GACGGGGGGGGCAAGUGUUCUUCGGAAUGACUGGGCGUAAAGCGCGUGUAGGCUGUUCGGAAAGUCGGAUGUGAAAGCCCUGGGCUCAACCCAGGAAGUGCAUUCGAAACUCCCGAACUCGAGUCCUGGAGAGGAAGGCGGAAUUCUCGGUGUAGAGGUGAAAUUCGUAGAUAUCGGGAGGAACACCAGUGGCGAAGGCGACUACCUGGCCUGUUCUUGACGCUGAGGCGCGAAAGCUAGGGGAGCAAACGGG
RNAcentral lists this ribosomal RNA (253 nucleotides) under uncultured bacterium. RNAcentral describes it as "partial 16S ribosomal RNA". It matches the Rfam family "Bacterial small subunit ribosomal RNA", at positions 524 to 776 of the family's 1533-position model. The record is from RNAcentral.